UAAGGAUUAUUGCUCAAUGGGAGAAAUCCUGAAGCAGCAACGCCGCGUGGAGGAUGAAGGGUCUAUGACUUGUAAACUCCUGUAAAGAAGGAAAAAAUUCCCAUUUGAUGGGAGAUGAUGGUACUUCUGGAGUAAGCCCCGGCUAACUACGUGCCAGCAGCCGCGGUAAUACGUAGGGGGCGAGCGUUGUCCGGAAUUACUGGGCGUAAAGGGUGCGUAGGCGGCCGAUUAAGUUGGAUGUGAAAUACCCGUGCUCAACAUGGGGGGUGCAUUCAAAACUGGUUGGCUAGAGUACAGGAGAGGGAAGCGGAAUUCCUUGUGUAGCGGUGAAAUGCGUAGAUAUUGGGAGGAACACCAGUGGCGAAGGCGGCUUUCUGGACUGACACUGACGCUGAGGCACGAAAGCGUGGGGAGCAAACA
RNAcentral lists this ribosomal RNA (420 nucleotides) under uncultured bacterium. Its description in RNAcentral is "bacterial SSU rRNA". It matches the Rfam family "Bacterial small subunit ribosomal RNA", at positions 355 to 774 of the family's 1533-position model. The record is from RNAcentral.